AGCUCUUUGUAAAAUUUGAAUAAAUAAAGAGUUUAACCUGCCCAGUGAUAAUAAUUAAAUGGCCGCGGAAAUUUAACCGUGCGAAGGUAGCGUAAUCAUUAGCCUUUUAAAUGGAGGAUGGUAUGAAUGGUUGAACGAAAUUAAACUGUCUCUUUCUUAGGUUCUUGAAAUUAAUUUUCUUGUGAAGAAGCGGGAAUUUAACCAUAGGACGAGAAGACCCUAUCGAGCUUAAGUAAUAUUUUUGGCUGUUGUUGUAAAUAAUAAACUUUAAUAUAAGAAAUAUUGAGUUUUAAUUGUUGGCAGUGCAAGUAUUUUUAUUUUGGUUGGGGCAAUCACGAAGAAAAUAGAAUCUUUGUUAAUUAUAUAUAUAAAAUUAUGAAUUUAAUUUAGAAAUAAAAAGAUCCAUUUAGAUAAAUGAGUGAAAGAAUAAGUUACCGUAGGGAUAACAGCGUAAUUUUUUUAGAAAGGCCUUAUUGACAAAGAAGUUUGCGACCUCGAUGUUGGAUCGAGACAUCCUAAAAGUGUAGAAGCUUUUAAGGGUUGGUCUGUUCGACCAUUAAAGUCUU
Molecule: ribosomal RNA, 566 nt
Filed under: Podosphaeraster polyplax
Lineage: Eukaryota; Metazoa; Echinodermata; Asteroidea; Valvatida; Podosphaerasteridae
Description: partial 16S ribosomal RNA
Rfam family: Bacterial large subunit ribosomal RNA
Source: RNAcentral